CGUGCCUAAUACAUGCAAGUCAACGCAUUGUGGUUGAAAUGAUAUGAAGAACUUGUUCAGAUUUGAUUUCAACAUUGCAAUGAGUGGGCGAACGGGUGAGUAACACGUGGGAAACCUACCUCUUAGCAGGGGAUAACAUUUGGAAACAAAUGCUGAUACCGUAUAAUAAUUAAAACCGCAUGGUUUUAGUUUAAAAGAUGGUCUUGCUAUCACUAAGAGAUGGUCCCGCGGUGUAUUAGUUAGUUGGUGAGGGUAAUGGGCUCACCAAGACAAUGAUACAUAGCCGAGUUGAGAGACUGACCGGCCACAAUGGGACUGAGACACGGCCCAUACUCCUACGGGAGGCAGCAGUAGGGAAUCUUCCACAAUGGACGAAAGUCUGAUGGAGCAACGCCGCGUGUGUGAUGAAGGGUUUCGGCUCGUAAAACACUGUUGUAAGAGAAGAAUGACAUUGAGAGUAACUGUUCAAUGUGUGACGGUAUCUUACCAGAAAGGAACGGCUAAAUACGUGC
This 512-nucleotide ribosomal RNA is filed under the name uncultured bacterium. Its description in RNAcentral is "bacterial SSU rRNA". It matches the Rfam family "Bacterial small subunit ribosomal RNA", at positions 43 to 508 of the family's 1533-position model. The record is from RNAcentral.